GAAAGACAGCACCUAUUUUACUACAAGCAUUAUUAAAAACAACAGUUAUACCCAGUGUAGUGAUCUUCUGAGUAUAAGGAUGAAUCUGAAUUUAUUGAAAGGGAUCGUGGAAUUUGGAUGUGUAUUUGGGACUUAGGCUCUUAAGAGUGAAAAAUAGAUGAUAACCAAGAGAAUGGAGAACAAUUGGAAGCCAGUAGCUAAAGCAAAGUCAGGGUAUCCAGAAUAUCAUGAUCCAUAAAGCACAAACUAAAAGUCAGAGCAAAACAAGUCAAAAUCAGGAAGAUAAACUAAAAAUUAUGAAAUAAAUAUUUUGUUGUUGUUGAAUUGUA
Sarcophilus harrisii (Tasmanian devil) is the source of this 329-nucleotide long non-coding RNA. RefSeq lists it as uncharacterized. The transcript is spliced from 2 exons. NCBI's taxonomy places the organism in Eukaryota, Metazoa, Chordata, Mammalia, Dasyuromorphia, Dasyuridae. The record is from RefSeq and is a predicted model, not a curated record.